AGCAGCCGCGGUAAUUCCAGCUCCAAUAGCGUAUAUUAAAGUUGUUGCAGUUAAAAAGCUCGUAGUUGAAUUUCGAGAUCAAAUUGUUGGUCGUGCCUUGGUACGCACUGGCAUUAUUGGUUUCUCCCUUCUGACGAACCAUGAUGUCAUUAAUUUGGUGUCUUGGGGAAUCAGGACUGUUACUUUGAAAAAAUUAGAGUGUUUAAAGCAGGCUCACGCUUGAAUACAUUAGCAUGGAAUAAUGAAAUAGGACGUUUGAUUCUAUUUUGUUGGUUUCUAGGAUCGACGUAAUGAUUAAUAGGGAUAGUUGGGGGCGAUUAGUAUUCAAUUGUCAGAGGUGAAAUUCUUGGAUUUAUUGAAGACUAACUACUGCGAAAGCAUUUGCCAAGGAUGUUUUCAUUAAUCAAGAACGAAAGUUAGGGGAUCGAAGACGAUCAGAUACCGUCGUAGUCUUAACCAUAAACUAUGCCGACUAGGGAUCGGAUGAUGUUAAUUUUUUAAUGACUCAUUCGGCGCCUUA
This 520-nucleotide unclassified non-coding RNA is filed under the name uncultured Glomus. Its description in RNAcentral is "SSU rRNA". It matches the Rfam family "Eukaryotic small subunit ribosomal RNA", at positions 569 to 1090 of the family's 1831-position model. Lineage: Eukaryota; Fungi; Glomeromycota; Glomeromycetes; Glomerales; Glomeraceae. The record is from RNAcentral.